Molecule: ribosomal RNA, 481 nt
Filed under: uncultured bacterium
Lineage: Bacteria
Description: partial 16S ribosomal RNA
Rfam family: Bacterial small subunit ribosomal RNA
Source: RNAcentral
GAUGAACGCUGGCGGCGUGCUUAACACAUGCAAGUCGAACGAAGCAUUUAAGACAGAUUACUUCGGUUUGAAGUCUUUUAUGACUGAGUGGCGGACGGGUGAGUAACGCGUGGGUAACCUGCCUCAUACAGGGGGAUAGCAGCUGGAAACGGCUGGUAAUACCGCAUAAGCGCACAGUACCACAUGGUACAGUGUGAAAAACUCCGGUGGUAUGAGAUGGACCCGCGUCUGAUUAGCUUGUUGGCGGGGUAACGGCCCACCAAGGCGACGAUCAGUAGCCGACCUGUGAGGGUGACCGGCCACAUUGGGACUGAGACACGGCCCAGACUCCUACGGGAGGCAGCAGUGGGUAAUAUUGCACAAUGGAGUAAACUCUGAUGCAGCGACGCCGCGUGAGUGAAGAAGUAGUUCGCUAUGUAAAGCUCUAUCAGCAGGGAAGAUAGUGACGGUACCUGACUAAGAAGCUCCGGCUAAAUACGUG